Molecule: long non-coding RNA, 1880 nt
Filed under: Coffea arabica (coffee)
Lineage: Eukaryota; Viridiplantae; Streptophyta; Magnoliopsida; Gentianales; Rubiaceae
Description: long non-coding RNA (CARA_LNC003678)
Source: RNAcentral
CUCUCUAUCUAUUUUCAGUUUCCCGUAGACAUAUGGUUCCCCUCUUCCUCUCUAUCAUCCAGAUCUGAAUUUAUACAAUCAUGGACACACUAUAAAGACCCUUCUGAUACAAUGGCAGACUUCAAGGAAAAGCAAUGGUGUAGGGUUUUUAAGCAAAUAUGUUAUUUUCAUCUCUAUUUUGUCAAUUGCUUUUUUCUUGCAUUUUCAUCAAUUUAACAAUCAUAAGAUAAACUUUUUGAAAUUGUAGGCUUCUACUUUAGUGGAUUAGAGUGAAUAGGCAUCUCAGUUGGAGUAGAGAAAGGGGUCUUACUGGAAGGCAAAAUGAAAACGGCCCGUCAAAAUUUCAGAUCUAAGAUUUCAGGUAGUCUCCAACAUAUUUUUAUACUAGAAUUCUUCCUUCCACGAUUUGAUUUUUUCCCUAUUUUGUCCUAUUGUUCAAUCUCCUCUCUUUACCACUCUCGCUCCCAUUCCUCCAUACCUCUCGUUGCCCAGCCCUAAUUGUCCCCUUUCGUUGUCCCAAACCCCUAGUAACUUACACAAUUUUUGAAUACUAAACACUGAUUAUGACAUGUUCUAAAUUUCAAGCUUUAUUUGUUAGGUGACUUAACUGAAAUUUUGGAUGAUUUUCCACUCCGGUUGGUGAUUAGGAUUGAUGGUGUAGGUGAUUUUGCUUGUCUUUGGACUGGUUUGUGGUGUUUCAUCAUUAUCUAUUGUUUUGUGUUUCGGUGUUGUAGGACCAUUCGUGAAGCGUAUUUUUUCCCUUCCUUUGGGCUAAUUCUAAUGCUUUCAUUGUGCUGCAUGUGAUUCUCUUAGGUGAUAACUUCUUCUCCUCCUGAAUAUUUGUGCCAGUUUUGAUGCCUUUGGUCUUUUUGCUUUUUGAUGAUUUAAUUUUUUGUUUAAUUCUUAACUAAAGAUCUAGUAAAUAGAAUAUAGUUUUAUUUUAAGUGAACAUACUGGACAAAAAUAAUAAGGAUUAGAAGAAAAGGAUCUCAUUGGCUAUUUGCACCUUGGAAGCCUUGUUGGCAGUAAAAUCUAAUUCCUUUUUCAAAGUCCAUUUCAUGCUUUCCUUGUGCUUUUAUGUUAAACUGUGCAACAUAUAGAAUUACACUGAAAUUUGAAUAGAGCAAUUAAGGUUGAAAAUGAACAAGAUACAAACUUUGUAUUUCAAAAUGCUCAUGCCAAGCUUCUAUUGAGUGAAUUUUCUAGACAACUCUUUUAGUGUAUUUGUUGCACUUUAUACCUUAUAAUUAUUGAGACUUUUUACCUCAACCUGCAUUAUGUAUACUUGAAAACAUAUUUGAUUACUUUUGAAUCUGUUUGUACCUUAAGAGUUAAGGCUUCUUAAAGUGUAUAUGAAAAGUGGUCCAAAUGUUAUGCUUGCUUAGCUACUUCUCAAUUUUAAACGAGUUGCAAUGGGUGAAUGCAUUUACUAUUUUUGUGUUAAAGGAAACAGCCUUGGCGUUACUUUACAAUUGGUUUCAUGUCAAUUGGGGUCAUAAUGAUUUCUUCAUCUUAAGUACAUGCUACCAACUUGUCGUUUGAAAUUCAGUUCAUAUUUUGUACUUGUGUGGUUAAUAAAAGUGAUCCUUAGCAUUUCUUUUUAAGUCCCUCAUUUUCAUUUCUUUUCAUGCAACAAUAUGAGGAUCAAUGUCUUAGUUGAUAUAUGUAGGCUAAUGUAGGUUUAAUUUAUCUAACUACCAAUGUAAAUUUUUGUUUAAUAAUUUUUUUCCAUUGGACUCUGUAGGUUGAUGGUGGAUUGUAGUAAACCUGGCUAUGAAGCUCUUACAAGCUACUUUGAUUAUAGACUUCGCCAAUUAAUGCAAACAUGGUACUCAUUGUAUAUCGGCACAGGGUCUAUCUUAGCAUUUGUUAUCCCUGGC